GGACCCGCACAAGCAGCGGAGCAUGUGGUUUAAUUCGACGCAACGCGAAAAACCUUACCAAGACUUGACAUCGUACGCCAACUGUGGAAACACAGCGUUCCCUUCGGGGACGUGCAGACAGGUGGUGCAUGGUUGUCGUCAGCUCGUGUCGUGAGAUGUUGGGUUAAGUCCCGCAACGAGCGCAACCCUUGUGAACAGUUGCCAAUAUUAAGUUAGGAACUCUGUUCAGACUGCCGUGGUUAACACGGAGGAAGGUGGGGAUGACGUCAAAUCAUCAUGCCCCUUACGUCUUGGGCUACACACGUGCUACAAUGGCUACUACAAAGAGCUGCAAGCCGGCAACGGCAAGCGAAUCUCAAAAAAGUAGUCUCAGUUCGGAUUGUGGGCUGAAACUCGCCCACAUGAAGUCGGAGUUGCUAGUAAUCCCAAAUCAGCAUGUUG
This 441-nucleotide ribosomal RNA is filed under the name uncultured Bacillota bacterium. RNAcentral's name for it is "bacterial SSU rRNA". It matches the Rfam family "Bacterial small subunit ribosomal RNA", at positions 917 to 1359 of the family's 1533-position model. Lineage: Bacteria; Bacillati; Bacillota. The record is from RNAcentral.